UACGUAGGGAGCAAGCGUUGUCCGGAAUCAUUGGGCGUAAAGCGCGCGUAGGCGGCCCUGUAAGUCCGUUGUGAAAGUCAAAGGCUCAACCUUUGAAAGCCGAUGGAUACUGCAGGGCUAGAGUCCGGAAGAGGCGAGUGGAAUUCCUGGUGUAGCGGUGGAAUGCGCAGAUAUCAGGAGGAACACCAAUAGCGAAGGCAGCUCGCUGGGACGGUACUGACGCUGAGACGCGAAAGCGUGGGGAGCGAACAGG
Molecule: ribosomal RNA, 253 nt
Filed under: uncultured bacterium
Lineage: Bacteria
Description: partial 16S ribosomal RNA
Rfam family: Bacterial small subunit ribosomal RNA
Source: RNAcentral